UGUUUCGGCUAGGGGGCCAUCCCGGCUUACCAACCCGAUGCAAACUGCGAAUACCGGAGAAUGUUAUCACGGGAGACACACGGCGGGUGCUAACGUCCGUCGUGAAGAGGGAAACAACCCAGACCGCCAGCUAAGGUCCCAAAGUCAUGGUUAAGUGGGAAACGAUGUGGGAAGGCCCAGACAGCCAGGAUGUUGGCUUAGAAGCAGCCAUCAUUUAAAGAAAGCGUAAUAGCUCACUGGUCGAGUCGGCCUGCGCGGAAGAUGUAACGGGGCUAAACCAUGCACCGAAGCUGCGGCAGCGACGCUUAUGCGUUCGUUGGGUAGGGGAGCGUUCUGUAAGCCUGUGAAGGUGGCCUGUGAGGGUUGCUGGAGGUAUCAGAAGUGCGAAUGCUGACAUAAGUAACGAUAAAGCGGGUGAAAAGCCC
Molecule: ribosomal RNA, 425 nt
Filed under: Salmonella enterica subsp. enterica serovar Kedougou
Lineage: Bacteria; Pseudomonadati; Pseudomonadota; Gammaproteobacteria; Enterobacterales; Enterobacteriaceae
Description: partial 23S ribosomal RNA
Rfam family: Bacterial large subunit ribosomal RNA
Source: RNAcentral